ACAGCAGUCGCCGCGGGAACACGGAGGGGGCUAGCGUUGUUCGGAAUUACUGGGCGUAAAGCGCACGUAGGCGGCUUGGUAAGUUAGAGGUGAAAGCCCGGAGCUCAACUCCGGAAUUGCCUUUAAGACUGCCGAGCUAGCAGGUGAGAGAGGUAAGUGGAAUUCCGAGUGUAGAGGUGAAAUUCGUAGAUAUUCGGAAGAACACCAGUGGCGAAGGCGGCUUACUGGCUCAUACUGGACGCUGAGGUGCGAAAGCGUGGGGAGCAAACAGGAUUAGAUACCCGCGUAGUCCCUGUCUCUUAUAC
RNAcentral lists this ribosomal RNA (305 nucleotides) under uncultured bacterium. Its description in RNAcentral is "partial 16S ribosomal RNA". It matches the Rfam family "Bacterial small subunit ribosomal RNA", at positions 508 to 807 of the family's 1533-position model. The record is from RNAcentral.